This 20-nucleotide non-coding RNA is filed under the name Arabidopsis thaliana (thale cress). Lineage: Eukaryota; Viridiplantae; Streptophyta; Magnoliopsida; Brassicales; Brassicaceae. The record is from RNAcentral.
CUAAUCCGGGUACAAUAACA